Molecule: long non-coding RNA, 2444 nt
Filed under: Salmo salar (Atlantic salmon)
Lineage: Eukaryota; Metazoa; Chordata; Actinopteri; Salmoniformes; Salmonidae
Description: lncRNA (ENSSSAG00000097961.1)
Source: RNAcentral
CACAGAACACACCCUCUCUUUCAAAAACUCUCCCUCUCUGGCUUUCUCCCUCUUUCGAUCUCUUUCUUACACACACACACACACACACACACACACACACACACACACACACACACACACACACACACACACACACACACACACACACACACACACACACACACACACACACACACACACACACAUACACUCUUUCUCUCUCUUUAACUAUCCAUAUCUCGCUUUCUCACAUUACCAAUAGGAAAAAAUUUUUUUUUUAUCCAACCAUAUUAAUCAUGACCAAAUAUUUAGGAACAGGUUGUCAUUUCAUGGAGUCUGUGAAGGACGAAACCACAGGGAAAAAAUGAGCAGACAUCAUCAUGUCCCAUGUAUACAAACGUAAAACAAGCAGUGGUCUAGUCCCCCUUGACGUUGUUGAGUGAGGAAGUGAGAGAAGGGAAGAAGUCCUUUGGAGCAGCAGCAAAGAUAGAGUAGCAGAGGAACACAAAUUCAUAUCUGAUGACAUGGAGUCUCACAGAUCAGUCUCAUGGGCUUAGUAGCCUCAAACCCAGAAAACUUGUCUACGAAUUGGCACAUCAAAACAACAUCCCUGUCCCAGACAACUGGUCAAGAAAUGGAAGGAAAGAGAUGUCCAUAACAUUGAAGGAUGAUGGGGAAAGAGAUGUCCAUAACAUUGAAGGAUGAUGGGGAAAGAGAUGUCCAUAACAUGGAAGGAGGGUGGGGAAAGAGAUGUCCAUAACAUGGACGAAUGAUGGGGAAAGAGAUGUCCAUAACAUGGAAGGAUGAUGGGGAAAGAGAUGUCCAUAACAUGGACGGAUGAUGGGGAAAGAGAUGUCCAUAACAUGGAAGGAUGAUGGGGAAAGAGAUGUCCAUAACAUGGACGGAUGAUGGGGAAAGAGAUGUCCAUAACAUGGACAGAUGAUGGGGAAAGAGAUGUCUGUAACAUGGACGGAUGAUGGGGAAAGAGAUGUCCAUAACAUGGAAGGAGGGUGGGGAAAGAGAUGUCUGUAACAUGGACGGAUGAUGGGGAAAGAGAUGUCCAUAAUAUGGACAGAUGAUGGGGAAAGAGAUGUCUGUAACAUGGAAGGAUGAUGGGGAAAGAGAUGUCCGUAACAUGGAAGGAUGAUGGGGAAAGAGAUGUUUGUAACAUGGAAGGAUGAUGGGGAAAGAGAUGUCUGUAACAUGGAAGGAUGAUGGUGAAAGAGAUGUCCAUAAUAUGUAAGGAGGGUGGGGAAAGAGAUGUCCAUAACAUUGACGAAUGAUGGGGAAUGAGAUGUCUGUAACAUGGAAGGAGGAUGUGGAAAUUAUCGUUAAUCCUGUGGGGAAUUUCCAAACAUGCUUCAUAUUGACUGAAGUUUCCUGUAUGUGGUUACUUGUGGCUACACUGUGCGUCUGUGUGUGUUCGUGCCAGAUGACAAGUGAAACACUUCCACCACAGUGAGCAUCACUAAAGGCUGACGGGUCGGGACCAUGUAGAGCAGCACUAAUAGAGAGAUACAAGUGGUAGUGGAUAAGGAUCAGCCACCACAGGUCUGUCUGGCAAGAACUAAUCAGAUGUCUUCAGAACAGGUUUAUUGCAGAUAUCGGGUUCAACACGCCACACUCCUAAAAGUUGUUCAAUGGAAAGAUACAAGAAAAUAAUAAGCAUAAAUAGGGGCUUCCAGACAACGUACGGAGCACAGCCAAAUACACACAGCUAGUAGUACACACUGACAGAACAAAGGCCCAGUUACUGGUAAGCAUAUAUACAAUUGAAACAUGACUGCCAUGUAACUAAGGUCUGCGCAUGUGCACAAGACCACGACCAACGUGGAAUAGCAACUGCACCACAAGCGAAGGCACAGGCUAAUUAGGCUACAUACAUACAUCAUAAGGCUAUACACAGUACAUGGUAGCAUGAGGCUACAUAAAGACUGUAAAUGUACAUAAACACAGCUCUACGCAUGAACAGACAACAUAAACAGAAUAUAUUUCCCUUGAAACGGUACAUGUGAGCUUCAUCACCAAGCCUAAUGAGCUAGCGUUAGUGGCUCACAUUCUGGCUUAGCUGGCUAGCAGUAACAUGACACACAUGACAGGAAAAUACCUGAAACAUAUGGUGAAUAUCAACUUGACCGCCUUAGCAACAUCUUGAUAACAAACAUGGUCAUCUCCCAUCUAUUUCUGAUGUCCUUCCAGCUGGAUUUCUAUUUGCCACAUAUAUUUUAACUGCUGUUUCACAGAGGUUCUGAACCUAUAUACUUUUUACGGACACGGUAUAUUUAAAAUUAGUUAUCUUGUUGUUAUUAGUCCCACCCUUCUAUCUUUAACACCAUCCAGUUUUGAUUUCUAUUUGCCAUAUAUUUUUUCAACUGUGCUGUGAUGUUUCACAAAAGUUCUGAACAUUUCUAUUCUCAUAGUUUCUACAGAUUGUAAAUUAAAGAUAAACAUUGUUGCUAAAAUAA